This is a long non-coding RNA of Thalassophryne amazonica, 386 nucleotides long. RefSeq lists it as uncharacterized. Lineage: Eukaryota; Metazoa; Chordata; Actinopteri; Batrachoidiformes; Batrachoididae. The transcript has 3 exons. The record is from RefSeq and is a predicted model, not a curated record.
CCUCCUUACCCACAAGGAGAAACGGAAGGAACUUUGGAAAAUGUAAGAUUGGAGCUCCUUGAUGAAGUAAAGAAGAGGAGCAACUGCCUGGUCAUCAGUGAGAAAAUGGCAAAGACAUUCUCCAUUCGCAGGCAGGAAGUUGUCAUUCAAGCACCAUCAAUCAGUGACUUGAGAGACCGAUGGCCUGGUCUUUUCGAUGCAACUCAGAUAAAUGAAGAAUUCAGAAGGGUCACCACUGUUGGCCUUGAGACAACAUUCAUGGCAAAACUGGACCAGUAUACCCCGAAAAUAAUGGCACUGGUGUCCUCAAGAGGAGGAGCUGCAAAAAUGAAGAUUUAGCACAUAAAGAAAAUGCUGCUAGAGGAACCGUCUGUAGAAAGGAGGAG